UUCGGCCUGGCGGCGAGUGGCGAACGGGUGAGUAAUACAUCGGAACGUGCCCUGUUGUGGGGGAUAACUAGUCGAAAGAUUAGCUAAUACCGCAUACGACCUGAGGGUGAAAGCGGGGGACCGUAAGGCCUCGCGCAAUAGGAGCGGCCGAUGUCUGAUUAGCUAGUUGGUGGGGUAAAGGCCUACCAAGGCGACGAUCAGUAGCUGGUCUGAGAGGACGAUCAGCCACACUGGGACUGAGACACGGCCCAGACUCCUACGGGAGGCAGCAGUGGGGAAUUUUGGACAAUGGGGGCAACCCUGAUCCAGCAAUGCCGCGUGUGUGAAGAAGGCCUUCGGGUUGUAAAGCACUUUUGUCCGGAAAGAAAUCGCGCUGGCUAAUACCUGGCGUGGAUGACGGUACCGGAAGAAUAAGCACCGGCUAACUACGUGCCAGCAGCCGCGGUAAUACGUAGGGUGCGAGCGUUAAUCGGAAUUACUGGGCGUAAAGCGUGCGCAGGCGGUUUUGUAAGACA
RNAcentral lists this ribosomal RNA (515 nucleotides) under Cupriavidus sp. RNAcentral describes it as "bacterial SSU rRNA". It matches the Rfam family "Bacterial small subunit ribosomal RNA", at positions 79 to 590 of the family's 1533-position model. The record is from RNAcentral. Lineage: Bacteria; Pseudomonadati; Pseudomonadota; Betaproteobacteria; Burkholderiales; Burkholderiaceae.